UACGGCUACCUUGUUACGACUUCACCCCAGUCAUGAAUCUCACCGUGGCAAGCGCCCUCCUUGCGGUUAGACUACCUGCUUCUGGUGGAACCCACUCCCAUGGUGUGACGGGCGGUGUGUACAAGACCCGGGAACGUAUUCACCGCGACAUGCUGAUCCGCGAUUACUAGCGAUUCCGACUUCACGGAGUCGAGUUGCAGACUCCGAUCCGGACUACGACGCGCUUUCUGAGAUUAGCUCCCCCUUGCGGGUUGGCAACCCUCUGUACGCGCCAUUGUAUUACGUGUGAAGCCCUACCCAUAAGGGCCAUGAGGACUUGACGUCAUCCCCACCUUCCUCCGGUUUGUCACCGGCAGUCUCAUUAAAGUGCCCAACUAAAUGAUGGCAACUAAUGACAAGGGUUGCGCUCGUUGCGGGACUUAACCCAACAUCUCACGACACGAGCUGACGACAGCCAUGCAGCACCUGUGUUAUCGUUCCCUUUCGGGCACACCCACAUCUCUGCGGGUUUCAAUACAUGUCAAGGGUAGGUAAGGUUUUUCGCGUUGCAUCGAAUUAAUCCACAUAAUCCACCGCUUGUGCGGGUCCCCGUCAAUUCCUUUGAGUUUUAAUCUUGCGAUCGUACUCCCCAGGCGGUCAACUUCACGCGUUAGCUACGUUACCAAGCCCGUUAAGACCCGACAACUAGUUGACAUCGUU
Molecule: ribosomal RNA, 699 nt
Filed under: uncultured bacterium
Lineage: Bacteria
Description: partial 16S ribosomal RNA
Source: RNAcentral